Molecule: ribosomal RNA, 375 nt
Filed under: Triticum aestivum (bread wheat)
Lineage: Eukaryota; Viridiplantae; Streptophyta; Magnoliopsida; Poales; Poaceae
Description: partial small subunit ribosomal RNA
Source: RNAcentral
CAGCUUGGUGAUGGCCGUUCUCGUCUCUUUUGGACAGAUCGCUGGGUUCCCGGCCGCUGCAUCGCCGAGCUUGCGCAGCUUAUCUUCAUGACGGUCCCUCAACGACGCCGCAAAUCCCGCACUAUUCAAGAAGGUUUACAACUUCCAUCAUGGGUAUAGGAUAUCCAGGGUGCCCUUGGCCCUGCCGUCAUGGUCCAGUAUGUCGAGCUUUGGCGCUUGCUCCGCCACUCCCACCUCUCAGAUAUCCCAGACAAACUAGUCUGGCGUUGGACCGAGCCCGAGUUUACGCCACCGCUUCUUGCUACUCUGCCAUGUUCAUUGGCUCGCUGUCGGACCCACAUCGGCGUCCAACUUGGAAAACUUAGGCGCCUCUGA